Empidonax traillii (willow flycatcher) is the source of this 263-nucleotide long non-coding RNA. RefSeq lists it as uncharacterized. The record is from RefSeq and is a predicted model, not a curated record. NCBI's taxonomy places the organism in Eukaryota, Metazoa, Chordata, Aves, Passeriformes, Tyrannidae. The transcript is spliced from 3 exons.
GGUCUGGCCAGGAAACCUUCAAGCAGCAGCACUUUCCCUUUUAAGCAGGCCCCCGGACCCCAAAGUCCAAGGUGGUUCUCCUGCUAAUAACCAGGAAAAUGCCAGGGACACGCGAACAGGAGUCAUAGAAACCCCAGCUCUGUGUCCCUGAGCGGGCUGAGAUGAUGGCAGCGCUUGGAGCGGGGUGAUAACCCCCCCCCCAAAAAAAAUCCUGUCCCAGGGCAGUCCCUCCCUCAGGAAAGGUAACUUGGAUCACCAGUUGG